This is a long non-coding RNA of Triticum dicoccoides, 1250 nucleotides long. RefSeq lists it as uncharacterized. The record is from RefSeq and is a predicted model, not a curated record. Lineage: Eukaryota; Viridiplantae; Streptophyta; Magnoliopsida; Poales; Poaceae. The transcript is spliced from 3 exons.
GCCCUCUCCCAAACAGGGCGCUCGUCUCGCACUACCCCCAUGUGCUAACUUCUGCUCCCAAGGGUCGCCGCACUACGCGUAAGAAUUCCUCGGCAGGAGCACAGACCGUGCCAGCUCCAGCCCUUGCUGGGAGAUCAAAGCGGAAAGCCUCCACCGAAGUGGAGGCACCUGCCUCCUCAGCCUAGAGGUAACAUAUUUUGCAAUUGCCGUGAGGGUCGCCGUUGGCACUUUUUUUUAUUGAAGCUUGCUCAAUUUUGCAGAAGGCGCAUGCCUCUAUACCAGUCCGAAGAUCACACAGAUGCGCCGAACCGCAACUCCGGUCCCAAGUCUUCGGCUCAAGCCAGAGCCUCCUCCGAACACGCGGCAGCUGGCAUACCCCCGGCGGACUCCGAUGAUUUUUCGGUCACUAAUUCCGAAGUCGAGAGCGUAAUGAACCAUCGCCGCCGGAGGGAGACUUUAUGUCAUUCUUCCUUUGCCAACAAGAAUUCAGUGCUUUUAAUUCGGACGCGUACCUUGGAGCGGCCCAGACAGGCUGCAAGAGAGCAGAAAAAAAGCUGUCUGAGGACCUUGAAGUUAGACGGACACAGUUGGUCGAAACCAAGGCCGAACUGGAUGCGGCUCGAAAAGCCAGCAACGAAAUGUCCGGUAAGUAGAAAAGACUUGUUGCACAGGUAUACGUUGUAUUUUAUGCAUUAACACCAUAUUCUCCAUAUUGCCGCGGGAACUGUAAGCGAGCUGCAAAGGGAGCUAGGGGCUGGCGAACGGGUGCUGACGCGAAGUCAGGAGGAGAAAAAUCAGCUCAAGGAAGAGAAACAACGAAAAGCCGAGGAAAUUGAAAGCUUAAGAACCCAGCUGGCGUAAGCCUUGGAUGAGAACUAGAAGCUAAAAGGUGGCAUAUUUGGUCUCCUAACUCAGCGGCCCGAGGAAGAAGCCAACGCCUAUGACGGGAACCUAAAGGAGCUGUCGAAGACCUAUUAAAGGGCCCGGAAAGCCAUGAAGAGCAUGGUGAAGGCAGUAUGCCUGUCAGAUGCGCCACCUGAGAGUAUUGCUGAACUAGCCAGUCUCUUUAAAGGGCCUCGAUGAAGGUUCGAAUUAUGGAAGAUCUCGGCCUGUAGAGAAGGAGCACGCGAGGCGUGGGCUAUGGUAAAGACCCGUUUCACCAAGCUAGAUCCGGUGCAUAUGGCCCGGGUUGGUCCAGUGGGUCCUGACGGCCAAGAGAUACCACCGAGCUUGGUGUAUGAUGAGGUGAU